This 214-nucleotide unclassified non-coding RNA is filed under the name Leptospermum recurvum. RNAcentral describes it as "partial external transcribed spacer". Lineage: Eukaryota; Viridiplantae; Streptophyta; Magnoliopsida; Myrtales; Myrtaceae. The record is from RNAcentral.
GCACGAUCGUUGGACCACGAGCCUCUUCUCGUUCUCUCGGAUGCGGAAAGUCCCUCAUGGGCGUGGGUCAUUGGCCCUCGGUCCCGAAUCUGUAAGCGAAGCUAACGGGCAUAGCUUUACAUCGGAAUGACGCUCUCGCCUCGUCUUCGACCACGYGAAGCUAACGGGCAUAGCUCGCGAUGGCUCGUGCGGGGCGGACGUCGUGAAGGAAUGC